GAUGAACGCUGGCGGCGUGCUUAACACAUGCAAGUCGAACGAGAAUCAACGGAUUGAGGAUUCGUCCAAAUGAAGUUGAGGAAAGUGGCGGACGGGUGAGUAACACGUAAGCAACCUGCCUAUCAGAGGGGAACAACAGUUAGAAAUGACUGCUAAUACCGCAUAUGCCUUAAUUAUCACAUGAUAAUAGAGGGAAAGGAGCAAUCCGCUGAUAGAUGGGCUUGCGUCUGAUUAGAUAGUUGGUAAGGUAACGGCUUACCAAGUCGACGAUCAGUAGCCGGACUGAGAGGUUGAACGGCCACAUUGGGACUGAGAUACGGCCCAG
Molecule: ribosomal RNA, 325 nt
Filed under: uncultured bacterium
Lineage: Bacteria
Description: bacterial SSU rRNA
Rfam family: Bacterial small subunit ribosomal RNA
Source: RNAcentral